Molecule: ribosomal RNA, 551 nt
Filed under: Fejervarya limnocharis (Boie's wart frog)
Lineage: Eukaryota; Metazoa; Chordata; Amphibia; Anura; Dicroglossidae
Description: partial 16S rRNA
Rfam family: Bacterial large subunit ribosomal RNA
Source: RNAcentral
CGCUCUUGACUCCCAUAAGAGUCCAGCCUGCCCAGUGAUACUAUUAAACGGCCGCGGUACCCUGACCGUGCGAAGGUAGCAUAAUAACUUGUUCUUUAAAUGGGGACUAGCAUGAACGGCAUCACGAGGGUCUCACUGUCUCCUUUUUCUAAUCAGUGAAACUGAUCUUCCCGUGAAGAAGCGGGAAUUAAAAUAUAAGACGAGAAGACCCCAUGGAGCUUUAAACCCAAUAGACACCUCUGACUAAUCUAACCCAUUAUACUUUUUAUAGUUCUGCCUAUUGGUUUUAGGUUGGGGUGACCACGGAGUACAACAGAUCCUCCAUGACGUACGGGACUUCCCUCUUAUCCUUGAACUACACUUCUAAGAAUCAACAAAUUGACGUUUAAUGAUCCAAUAUAUUGAUCAACGAACCAAGUUACCCUGGGGAUAACAGCGCAAUCCAUUUUAAGAGCCCCUAUCGCCAAAUGGGUUUACGACCUCGAUGUUGGAUCAGGGUAUCCUAGUGGUGCAGCCGCUACUGAUGGUUUGUUUGUUCAACAAUUAAAACC